Molecule: ribosomal RNA, 523 nt
Filed under: uncultured bacterium
Lineage: Bacteria
Description: partial 16S ribosomal RNA
Rfam family: Bacterial small subunit ribosomal RNA
Source: RNAcentral
GACGAACGCUGGCGGCGUGCCUAAUACAUGCAAGUCGAACGCUUUUUCUUUCACCGGAGCUUGCUCCACCGAAAGAAAAAGAGUGGCGAACGGGUGAGUAACACGUUGGUAACCUGCCCAUCAGAAGGGGAUAACACUUGGAAACAGGUGCUAAUACCGUAUAACAAUAUUUUCCGCAUGGAAGAAAGUUGAAAGGAGCUUUUGCGUCACGUAUGGAUGGACCCGCGGUGCAUUAGCUAGUUGGUGAGGUAACGGCUCACCAAGGAAACGAUGCAUAGCCGACCUGAGAGGGUGAUCGGCCACCCUGGGACUGAGACACGGCCCAGACUCCUACGGGAGGCAGCAGUAGGGAAUCUUCGGCAAUGGACGAAAGUCUGACCGAGCAACGCCGCGUGAGUGAAGAAGGUUUUCGGAUCGUAAAACUCUGUUGUUAGAGAAGAACAAGGAUGAGAGUAAAAUGUUCAUCCCUUGACGGUAUCUAACCAGAAAGCCACGGCUAACUACGUGCCAGCAGCCGCCGCGG